Molecule: RNase P RNA, 160 nt
Filed under: Actinomycetota bacterium
Lineage: Bacteria; Bacillati; Actinomycetota
Description: Actinobacteria bacterium partial RNase P RNA component class A
Rfam family: Bacterial RNase P class A
About the family: Ribonuclease P (RNase P) is a ubiquitous endoribonuclease, found in archaea, bacteria and eukarya as well as chloroplasts and mitochondria. Its best characterised activity is the generation of mature 5'-ends of tRNAs by cleaving the 5'-leader elements of precursor-tRNAs.
Source: RNAcentral
GGUAAACCCCACUUGGAGCAAGACCAGACAGAUAGCGUUUGAGAACUGCUCGUUCGAGCUAUCGGGUAGGUCGCUUGAUUACGUAAGCAAUUACGUAACUAGAUGGAUGGUGAUCCGUUCGCAAGAACGACAGGAUCCGGCUUAUAGGGCGACUCUUCUU